RNAcentral lists this ribosomal RNA (465 nucleotides) under uncultured bacterium. Its description in RNAcentral is "partial 16S ribosomal RNA". It matches the Rfam family "Bacterial small subunit ribosomal RNA", at positions 338 to 795 of the family's 1533-position model. The record is from RNAcentral.
CCUACGGGUGGCAGCAGUAGGGAAUCUUCCACAAUGGGCGAAAGCCUGAUGGAGCAACGCCGCGUGGGUGAAGAAGGUCUUCGGAUCGUAAAACCCUGUUGUUAGAGAAGAAAGUGCGUGAGAGUAACUGUUCACGUUUCGACGGUAUCUAACCAGAAAGCCACGGCUAACUACGUGCCAGCAGCCGAGGUAAUACGUAGGUGGCAAGCGUUAUCCGGAUUUAUUGGGCGUAAAGGGAACGCAGGCGGUCUUUUAAGUCUGAUGUGAAAGCCUUCGGCUUAACCGGAGUAGUGCAUUGGAAACUGGGAGACGUGAGUGCAGAAGAGGAGAGUGGAACUCGAUGUGUAGCGGUGAAAUGCGUAGAUAUAUGGAAGAACACCAGUGGCGAAGGCGGCUCUCUGGUCUGUAACUGACGCUGAGGUUCGAAAGCGUGGGUAGCAAACAGGAUUAGAUACCCCUGUAGUC